RNAcentral lists this long non-coding RNA (2456 nucleotides) under Brachypodium distachyon (stiff brome). RNAcentral describes it as "long non-coding RNA (BDIS_LNC005448)". Lineage: Eukaryota; Viridiplantae; Streptophyta; Magnoliopsida; Poales; Poaceae. The record is from RNAcentral.
GGGUCGAGGGCGUCUCCGGACGGCGGCGGGUGGAGCUCCGGGCACGGCUUUGUCAUGGGGUCGAGGACGGCACGGCCAACGGCGUCAAGAGGUCACGAAACCUUGUCAAAAAGGUAGGUAAGGGUCACAUGAGUCUACCGGUGAAAAGAAUCAAAGAACGGAUGUUUAGGGUGAUCUCACCGGCAACAAUGGUGGCGGUGACCGGCGGAGGAAGACGUCGACGUAGCUGGCUGUACAGAGGUUUUGAGGCCAAACUUUCUAGAUGGGAAUGGGAGAGAAGAGACAAAGGCUCAAAGUGACGCGCGUGGAAUCCUUUUAUAGUGGCCGAGGAGGGAGAUCGGACGCGGGAUGUCGACGGCCAACAUUCGGAGUGCCUCUUUUGGAAACUGCGAUAAUGAGAGGAAACUUCAAAUUGGUUGCCUCGAUGGGUUCCCGGGAUGGUGAAGAUUGAUGGGGUGGUUUCUUUUCGGAGAAAGACGCGCGGGAAGGAAAGAAAUCAAAGAAAGAAAAUAUGGAAGGAGGGGUUUCCUUACGUGCAGACGAGGAAGAAGAGCACGAGCUCGUGCUCGCUGGCUGGGGCGCUCGGUGGAGAAGGGCUGGCCCAGUUGGGUCGGUUCAUUCUCUUUUUUUUCUUUUCGUUUUUUUGUUUAUGUUUUUAUUAAUAAAUUUUGAUUCUUAACUCCAAAUAAGUCCAAAUAAACUUUAGAAAAUUUGUAAAUUCAAAUCCUCCAAAGUGUGAACUUUUGGGACUUGAAUCCUUCCAAAAUAAAAUAAGUAAAAAUACUUUUGCUUGUGUAAAUGUCAUUAGGGCUCUAUAAGUAAUACAUAAAAUAAGUUUUGAAAUCUAUUAUGAAACCUUUGUUACAUAAAUUAGUUUAAACUCCAACAAAAUAUUGGGUUGGCAUACUUUGCACUAAAACCCUUUCUUGGAUAAAUACCCCAUUGGGUUGAACUCGAAAUAAAAUCUCAUAUUAAUUACAUGGUUCACUAAAUUCCCAAAUAACUUUAUAAGACCAAAUCAAAAAUCAUGUAAACCAUCGCAGAUGUUUCUAUAUAUAUAUAUAUAUAUAUACAUAUACAUAUAUAUAUAUAUAUACAUAUACAUAUAUAUAUAUACACAUAUCUAUAUAUAUAUUUGGGAUGGUGAAGAUUGAUGGGGUGGUUUCCUUUCGGAGAGAGACGCGCGGAAAGGAAAGAAAUUGAAGAAAGAAAAUAUGGAAGGAGGGGUUUCCUUACGUGCAGAGGAGGAAGAAGAGCACGAGCUCGUGCUCGCUGGCUGGGGCGCUCGGUGGAGAUGGGCCGGCCCAGUUGGGUCGGUUCAUUCUCUUUUUUUUGAUUUUUUUAUUUAUGUUUUUAUUAAUAAAUUUUGAUUCCUAACUCCAAAUAAGUCCAAAUAAAUUUCAGAAAAUUUGUAAAUUCAAAUCCUCCAAAGUGUGAACUUUUGGGACUUGAAUUCUUUUAAAAUAAAAUAAGUAAAAAUACUUUUGCUUGUAUAAAUGUCAUUAGGGCUUUAUAAAUAAUACAUAAAAUAGGUUUUGAAAUCUAUUAUGAAACCUUUGUUACAUAAAUUAGUUUAAACUCCAACAAAAUAUUGGGUUGGCAUACUUUGCACUAAAACCCUCUCUUGGAUAAAUACCCCAUUGGGUUGAACUCCAAAUGAAAUCUCAUAUUAAUUACAUGGUUCACUAAAUUCCCAAAUAACUUUAUAACACCAAAUCAAAAAUCAUGUAAACCAUCACAAAUGUUUCCAAACACAUAUAUAUAUAAAUGUAUGUAUUUGGGAUGGUGAGGAUUGAUGGGGUGGUUUCCUUUCGGAGAGAGACGCGCGGGAUGGAAAGAAAUCGAAGAAAGAAAAUAUGGAAGGAGGGGUUUCCUUACGUGCAGAGGAGGAAGAAGAUCACGAGCUCGUGCUCGCUGGUUGGGGCGCUCGGUGGAGAUGGGCCGGCCCAGUUGGGUCGGUUCAUUCUGUUUUUUUUUUGUUUUUUUAUUUAUGUUUUUAUUAAUAAAUUUUGAUUCCUAACUCCAAAUAAGUCCAAAUAAAUUUCAGAAAAUUUUUAAAUUCAAAUCCUCCAAAGUGUGAACUUUUGGGACUUGAAUCAUUUCAAAAUAAAAUAAGUAAAAAUACUUUUGCUUGUAUAAAUGUCAUUAGGGCUUUAUAAGUAAUACAUAAAAUAGGUUUUGAAAUCUAUUAUGAAACCUUUAUUACAUAAAUUAGUUUAAACUCCAACAAAAUAUUGGAUUGGCAUACUUUGCACUAAAACCCUUUCUUGGAUAAAUACCCCAUUGGGUUGAACUCCAAAUAAAAUCUCAUAUUAAUUACAUGGUUCACUAAAUUCCCAAAUAACUUUAUAACACCAAAUCAAAAAUCAUGUAAACCAUCGCAGAUGUUUCCAAACAUAUAUAUAUAUAUUUGGGAAGUCACGUUAUCCCACUCUCAAAGACGGAAUAAAUGUUGG